GCUGGGCCAUAAUAUAAUUAAUAGUCUCAGAGUUAAGCAACUUUGAAACAAUCCAUAAAAAAUAUAGGGAAUUAUAUACACCAAUCAAUUAGAUGUAACCAAAAGUCUCUUAAUGCGUGUGGAAUACGUAAUUUUUCCCUUUGGGAUCAAUAUUCUUCUGUCAGCUGUUCCAUCCGUGCGUCCGUAGUAAUUAUUGUAAAAGUACGGAUUACGGUCAUAGCUGGUCCGGUUCAGAUCCGUAGUUUAGAAAUCGGUCAAUGGCGGACGAAUGCAAGAAAAUUUACAAAAAUAAACGAUGUUUGACAAGUUAUUUGGAAAGGAACAUGACGUUUUUAAUGCAAUAAAUGGAUUGAACUUUUACUGGAGGCA
Molecule: long non-coding RNA, 369 nt
Filed under: Mytilus galloprovincialis (Mediterranean mussel)
Lineage: Eukaryota; Metazoa; Mollusca; Bivalvia; Mytilida; Mytilidae
Source: RNAcentral